GUAAAAUAUUGACUGGAACAAUAGA
This 25-nucleotide unclassified non-coding RNA is filed under the name Mus musculus (house mouse). Its description in RNAcentral is "oocyte_clustered_small_RNA8222". Lineage: Eukaryota; Metazoa; Chordata; Mammalia; Rodentia; Muridae. The record is from RNAcentral.